This 497-nucleotide ribosomal RNA is filed under the name uncultured bacterium. RNAcentral's name for it is "partial 16S ribosomal RNA". It matches the Rfam family "Bacterial small subunit ribosomal RNA", at positions 28 to 507 of the family's 1533-position model. The record is from RNAcentral.
GAUGAACGCUGGCGGCGUGCCUAAUACAUGCAAGUCGAGCGAACGGACGAGAAGCUUGCUUCUCUGAUGUUAGCGGCGGACGGGUGAGUAACACGUGGAUAACCUACCUAUAAGACUGGGAUAACUUCGGGAAACCGGAGCUAAUACCGGAUAAUAUUUUGAACCGCAUGGUUCAAUAGUGAAAGACGGUUUUGCUGUCACUUAUAGAUGGAUCCGCGCUGCAUUAGCUAGUUGGUAAGGUAACGGCUUACCAAGGCAACGAUGCGUAGCCGACCUGAGAGGGUGAUCGGCCACACUGGAACUGAGACACGGUCCAGACUCCUACGGGAGGCAGCAGUAGGGAAUCUUCCGCAAAGGGCGAAAGCCUGACGGAGCAACGCCGCGUGAGUGAUGAAGGUCUUCGGAUCGUAAAACUCUGUUAUUAGGGAAGAACAUAUGUGUAAGUAACUAUGCACAUCUUGACGGUACCUAAUCAGAAAGCCACGGCUAACUACGUG